RNAcentral lists this ribosomal RNA (1897 nucleotides) under Vibrio cholerae. RNAcentral describes it as "partial 23S ribosomal RNA". It matches the Rfam family "Bacterial large subunit ribosomal RNA", at positions 1 to 1924 of the family's 2925-position model. The record is from RNAcentral. Lineage: Bacteria; Pseudomonadati; Pseudomonadota; Gammaproteobacteria; Vibrionales; Vibrionaceae.
AGGUCAAGCUACAAAGGGCGCAUGGUGAAUGCCUUGGCACUAGAAGUCGAAGAAGGACGUGACAAGCUGCGAUAAGCUUCGGGUAGGCGCAAAUAGCCUGUGAUCCGGAGAUUUCCGAAUGGGGCAACCCACAUGUUUAACGACAUGUACUGUAUACUGAAUUCAUAGGUAUAUGGAGACAUACCCGGGGAACUGAAACAUCUAAGUACCCGGAGGAAGAGAAAGAAAUAUCGAUUUUCUUAGUAGCGGCGAGCGAAAAGGAAUCAGCCCAAACCAGGGACUUUGUCCCUGGGGUUGUGGAUAGAUCAUCACUGCAUAAUAUCUUAACCGAAGAGUUCUGGAAAGCUCUACCGCAGAAGGUAAUAGUCCUGUAGGUUAAAAGAGAAAAUUGCAAGAUCUAAUCCAGAGUACCACGAGACACGUGAAACCUUGUGGGAAGCUGGGAGGACCACCUCCCAAGGCUAAAUACUAACUAGUGACCGAUAGUGAAGCAGUACCGUGAGGGAAAGGUGAAAAGAACCCCGGAAGGGGAGUGAAAUAGAACCUGAAACCGUGUGCCUACAACCGGUCGUAGCACUUUUUAUGUGUGACGACGUGCUUUUUGUAGAACGAGCCAGCGAGUUACGGUAUGCAGCAAGGUUAAGCACUUAUGGUGCGCAGCCGAAGGGAAACCAAGUCUUAACAGGGCGACUAGUUGCAUGCUGUAGACCCGAAACCGGGUGACCUAUCCAUGGCCAGGUUGAAGCGGAAGUAAAAUUCCGUGGAGGACCGAACCACAUUGGUGUUGAAAAACCAUGGGAUGAGCUGUGGAUAGCGGAGAAAUUCCAAUCGAACUCGGAGAUAGCUGGUUCUCCUCGAAAUAGCUUUAGGGCUAGCGUCGAUUAAUUGAGUUAUGGAGGUAGAGCACUGAAUGAGGUAGGGGCUGACAACAGUUACUGAACUCUAUCAAACUCCGAAUGCCAUAUACUUUUAUUUCGGCAGUCAGACUGCGAAUGAUAAGAUCCGUAGUCAAAAGGGAAACAGCCCAGAUCAUCAGCUAAGGUCCCAAAGUGUAAGUUAAGUGGUAAAGGAUGUGGGAUUUCUAAGACAACUAGGAUGUUGGCUCAGAAGCAGCCACUCAUUUAAAGAGUGCGUAAUAGCUCACUAGUCAAGAGAUCCUGCGCCGAAAAUGUCCGGGGCUAAAACUUACCACCGAAGCUAUGGGCUCGUAAGAGCGGUAGAGGAGCUUCCUGCACCGGUUGAAGUCGUACCGUAAGGAGCGGUGGACAGUGCAGGAGUGAGUAUGCUGGCAUAAGUAGCGAGAACUAAGUGAGAAUCUUAGUGGUCGAAAACCUAAGGUUUCCUGAGGAAGGCUCGUCCGCUCAGGGUUAGUCGGGUCCUAAGCCGAGGCCGAAAGGCGUAGGUGAUGGAUAAUCGGUUGAUAUUCCGAUACCACCUUUCUCCGUUAUGAGAGAUGGGGUGACGCAGAAGGAUAAGAUGUGCGCACUAUUGGAUGUGCGUCUAAGCACUAAGACGUGCAGGCUGGCAAAUCCGCCUGAUUAGUCAAGGUGUUAUGGGGAGCUAAUUUUUAGCGAAGUAUCUGAUUUCACACUGCCAAGAAAAGCCUCUAUCAAGGAAAAAGGUGCCCGUACCGCAAACCGACACAGGUAGGUGAGGAGAGAAUCCUAAGACCAUCGGAAGAAUCGUUGUUAAGGAACUCGGCAAAUUGACCCCGUAACUUCGGGAGAAGGGGUGCCUGCUUUUAGCAGGCCGCAGAGGAUAGGCCCAAGCAACUGUUUAGCAAAAACACAGGUCUCUGCUAAAGCGAAAGCUGAUGUAUAGGGGCUGACGCCUGCCCGGUGCUGGAAGGUUAAGGGGAUCCGUAAGAGUAAUCGAAGCGGUGAACUUAAGCCCCAGU